This 62-nucleotide transfer RNA is filed under the name Cocos nucifera (coconut palm). RNAcentral describes it as "tRNA-Ile". Lineage: Eukaryota; Viridiplantae; Streptophyta; Magnoliopsida; Arecales; Arecaceae. The record is from RNAcentral.
AUAAAUAUAAUAUAAUAAUAUAUAUAAUUUAUAAUUAUAAAUUAUAUAUAUUAUUUUAUAUU